UGGAUUCACCCUUCGGUAAUUCCAGCUCCAAUACCGUAUACUAAUGUAUGGUGCGGUUAAAAAGCUCGUAUCCUAGAUUUCAUGUAGAGAAGAAUAUUUGGCCCUUUGGGUUACAAAAAAACCAUCUCUGCAUUCUUUUGCUGUGACGGCGUUCUCUCACUUCAUUGCGCGAAACGAAUGUUCGGCAUCUUUUACUUUGAGAAAAUUAAAGUGCUCAGAGCAGACAUUUUUGUCUUGAAUAUUACUCAUGGAAUAAUAAUAUAUGACUUCAGUCUUCCUUUGCUGUGGUUUGGAGGCUGGAGUAAUGAUUGAUAGGGACAGUUGGGGUCAUUACAACUCCUUACCGAGAGGUGAAAUUCUUAUACCUUACGAGGACUAACUACUGCGAAAGCAUUUGACAAGGAUGUUCCCGUUGAUCAAAAACGAAAGUUGAGGGAUCGAAGACGAUCAGAUACCGUCGUAGUCUCAACCAUAAACUAUGCCAGCUAGGGAUUGGGAGAGGCCUAAAUUUUCAAAGACUCUCUCAGCACCUUAUGAGAAAUCAAAGCAUUUGGGUUCCGGGGGGAGUAUGGUCGCAAGGCUGAAACUUAAAGGAAUUGACGGGAGGGCACCACCAGGAGUGGAGCCUGUGGCUUAAUUUGAUUCAACACGGGAAAACUUACCAGGUCCGGACAUAGUAAGGAUUGACAGAUUGAAGCUCUUUCUUGAUUCUAUGGGUGGUGGUGCAUGGCCGUUCUUAGUUGGUGGAGUGAUUUGUCUGGUUAAUUCCGUUAACGAACGAGACCUUAACCUGCUAAAUAGUUUCCUGAACCUCGGUUCAUCGGUUUACUUCUUAGAGGGACUUCGUGUGUUUAACGCGAGGAAGUUUGAGGCAAUAACAGGUCUGUGAUGCCCUUAGAUGUCCUGGGCUGCACGCGCGCUACACUGAUGUGUCCAGUAAGCACCUAACCUCUUCCGAAGGGAACGGGUAACCUUAGCAAAGCACAUCGUGAUGGGGAUAGAUUAUUGCAAUUAUUAGUCUUGAACGAGGAAUUCCUAGUAAGCACAAGUCAUCAGCUUGUGUUGAUUACGUCCCUGCCCUUUGUACACACCGCCCGUCGCUCCUACCGAUUGAAUGUUCCGGUGAAUACUUCGGACUGCGAGGUUUGCAGUUUCUGCGUUCCUUGCGGAAAGUUGAAUAAACCUUAACAUUUAGAGGAAGGAGAAGUCGUAACAAGGUAGCCG
This 1224-nucleotide ribosomal RNA is filed under the name uncultured eukaryote. RNAcentral describes it as "SSU rRNA". It matches the Rfam family "Eukaryotic small subunit ribosomal RNA", at positions 562 to 1805 of the family's 1831-position model. The record is from RNAcentral.